Molecule: long non-coding RNA, 1998 nt
Filed under: Homo sapiens (human)
Lineage: Eukaryota; Metazoa; Chordata; Mammalia; Primates; Hominidae
Description: non-protein coding lnc-SCGB2B2-7:1
Source: RNAcentral
AGCCAGACCAGGAACCCACCAGAAGGAACCAAUUCCGGACACAUAACAAGCAGCAGUGAGGACACCAAAGACACAGACCCAGAUGCAGAGGCAGAGGCAGCCACACAGCCCCUCCCAGCCACAAUCACAACCUCAUAUUCAUAUAAUCACAGACCCUCCACCCCACAUAGUGGGUGGAAUCCUGCCAGCGCAUUCCACUCACACACACACAAAAUCCCAUUCUCACACACGUGCACCCAAGCCUCGUCCCGCACACACAACAUGACAGGCCACAGAGCCGGCUGAGAGUCUCAGCACGCAUGGACGCCUGCACUGCGCAGGUUGCAGCCCAGGCUGCAGGACCACAGGUGGCAGGGACGACACAGCAGGUGGCCGGCCAGGGAGUGGCAGUGGCCUCCAUCCUCCCUGCUCAGCCACAGCCCCUGCUUCAGCGUCUGCCAGUCCAACUGUCAACUCAUCCACUCAACUUUACAACUGGAAUGUGGGGGCGUUCAGGGCCCUGCCACUGGUGACGGCCACUCUAAGUCCUACCCAAUGCUGGGUAGGUCCUUUAAGAGGCCCAAGUCCUGGGCGCUACUAUGAGGUUCUGUACGUGCACAGUGAUGGCUCAUGCCUGGCCGAGGUGAGCCCACUCAGUCUGGGUGGCACAGCCUAAUCUAGGAACUGCUCUGCGGUUCUACAUGGCUCUCAGCAGCCCAGUGAGUGUCCUCUGCACCGGGCGUGUCCCUCAGGUGCUCCUAGCCAGACCCUCCCUUGACACAGUAGGGCACAAACCGCUAUUGGAGCGGCACUGGCACCCGAGUGUACAAGCGUCAGCAUCCCUGCUGCCUUCCCCACCCCCAGCUGUCCCCACCUGCUGAUUCUGCCCCUGGGGUCACACUUACAAUUUAGGGUCCUGUCAGGAGACAAAAAUCACGUGAGUGACAUCAGCUCCCUCAUAUGUAGGUGCUGGGAAAAGGGCUUGUGGGGUGCCUGUAUAAACUGGCCAUAAAAAUACGGGAAUAAGUUGUGGAAAGCCACAAAAGGCCUCUGAGGAGGAAAGCCUCCUAAUUGCCAUCAUGUUCCCAUGCUCAGAGCAAGACCCGCUGUCUUCUCUGUAAACACUGUGCUCAGGGAGAAAGACACUUCUUUGAAACACUGGAAUGUGGACAGACGUGCAGGCUCCCAGUCAAGGCCGCUCCUACUAGCUACUCUCCAACAAGUUAAAGUUAUGCUGUUUGAGCACAAAGGAGACUCAUUUAAACUGCUAUUGCUAUAGAUUAUGCCUGUGAUGCACUGCCACCCUUUCACUGUUUCUCCCUGAACAUCUGCUUCUUAGAUCGAAGGGACUGUACUCAAUAAAUAGUGUGGAGACCAGAGCUCGGCACCUUUUGCAGCCUCCACAUUUUGCACUGGCCCCCUGGCUCCCCACCUUUCACUCUUAACUUGUCUUUUCUCAAUCCUUUGUCACCACCAGACUUCGGGUACCCUACGGGUAGUGUUGAGGCUGGUCCCCAACAUGUAGGAUCCCUUCACUGUGUCACAUGUGUCCCUAACACACUUGCUACAUCUCAUGUCCUUUAGGUUCUGUGUUUUACUCCAGAUAAUGUUCUUUGAAUCUAAAUUACAGUUUACUGAUUUCUCAAAAGCUGCACCUAAUGUGCUAUCCAUUCAGACAGACAUACUCACUUAGCAAAUGUUUGUUGAGCCAGCACUCAGUGGCAGAUUCUGUGCUAGGGCGUGCCAAGUGCAGACACACGUUUGCCAAGACACAGGGUCACAUGUGCAUGCACACUCAGACUUGCAGGCUUACACCAGUGUUCAGCCUGCUCCCAAUCCCAGGGAGCUCCAGGGAGGACAGAGAGAAUGUCACAACACCCAACCCCUCCCACUGCAUGCUGAGUCCAGUUCCCGAUACGCUGCCACCCCAACAGCAUGGCCCAGGGCCGAGGGUCUCUCUGCAGACCUGCCCUGACCACAUUCACACACACACACACACACACACACACACACACACAC